RNAcentral lists this ribosomal RNA (520 nucleotides) under uncultured Glomus. RNAcentral describes it as "SSU rRNA". It matches the Rfam family "Eukaryotic small subunit ribosomal RNA", at positions 569 to 1086 of the family's 1831-position model. The record is from RNAcentral. Lineage: Eukaryota; Fungi; Glomeromycota; Glomeromycetes; Glomerales; Glomeraceae.
AGCAGCCGCGGUAAUUCCAGCUCCAAUAGCGUAUAUUAAAAGUUGUUGCAGUUAAAAAGACUCGUAGUUGAAUUUCGGGAGUCAAUAUAUCGGUCGUGCCUUGGUACGUACUGGUAUCAUUGGUUUCUCCUUUCUGACGAACCAUGAUGUCAUUAAUUUGGUGUUAUGGGGAAGUUAGGACUGUUACUUUGAAAAAAAUUAGAGUGUUUAAAGCAGGCUUUAGCUUGAAUACAUUAGCAUGGAAUAAUGAAAUAGGGCGUUCGAACCUAUUUUGUUGGUUUCUAGGAUCAACGUAAUGAUUAAUAGGGAUAGUUGGGGGCAUUAGUAUUCAAUUGUCAGAGGUGAAAUUCUUGGAUUUAUUGAAGACUAACUACUGCGAAAGCAUUUGCCAAGGAUGUUUCAUUAAUCAAGAACGAAGGUUAGGGGAUCGAAGACGAUCAGAUACCGUCGUAGUCUUAACCAUAAAACUAUGCCGACUAGGGAUCGGAUGAUGUUAAUUUUUAAUGAACUCAUUCGGCGC